This 587-nucleotide ribosomal RNA is filed under the name uncultured Nitrosomonas sp. RNAcentral's name for it is "bacterial SSU rRNA". It matches the Rfam family "Bacterial small subunit ribosomal RNA", at positions 338 to 916 of the family's 1533-position model. The record is from RNAcentral. Lineage: Bacteria; Pseudomonadati; Pseudomonadota; Betaproteobacteria; Nitrosomonadales; Nitrosomonadaceae.
CCUACGGGAGGCAGCAGUGGGGAAUUUUGGACAAUGGGCGCAAGCCUGAUCCAGCCAUGCCGCGUGAGUGAAGAAGGCCUUCGGGUUGUAAAGCUCUUUCAGUUGGGAAGAAACGAUUGCAACUAAUAAUUGUAAUUAAUGACGGUACCGACAGAAGAAGACCCGGCUAACUACGUGCCAGCAGCCGCGGUAAUACGUAGGGUGCGAGCGUUAAUCGGAAUUACUGGGCGUAAAGGGUGCGCAGGCGGUUUUGUAAGUCAGAUGUGAAAUCCCCGGGCUUAACCUGGGAAUGGCGUUUGAAACUGCAAGGCUAGAGUGUAGCAGAGGGGAGUGGAAUUCCGCGUGUAGCAGUGAAAUGCGUAGAUAUGCGGAGGAACACCGAUGGCGAAGGCAGCUCCCUGGGCUAACACUGACGCUCAUGCACGAAAGCGUGGGGAGCAAACAGGAUUAGAUACCCUGGUAGUCCACGCCCUAAACGAUGUCAACUAGUUGUCGGGCCUAAUUGAGGGUUUGGUAACGUAGCUAACGCGUGAAGUUGACCGCCUGGGGAGUACGAUCGCAAGAUUAAAACUCAAAGGAAUUGACGG